GACGAAGGGGGCUAGCGUUGUUCGGAAUUACUGGGCGUAAAGCGCGUGUAGGCGGUUGUCCAAGUUGGAUGUGAAAUCCUUGAGCUCAACUCAAGAAAUGCAUUCAGGACUGGAUGACUAGAGGACCGGAGAGGAUAGUGGAAUUCCCAGUGUAGUGGUGAAAUACGUAGAGAUUGGGAAGAACACCAGUGGCGAAGGCGGCUAUCUGGACGGUUUCUGACGCUAAGACGCGAAAGCGUGGGGAGCGAACAGG
This 253-nucleotide ribosomal RNA is filed under the name uncultured bacterium. RNAcentral describes it as "partial 16S ribosomal RNA". It matches the Rfam family "Bacterial small subunit ribosomal RNA", at positions 524 to 776 of the family's 1533-position model. The record is from RNAcentral.